This 456-nucleotide ribosomal RNA is filed under the name uncultured Alphaproteobacteria bacterium. RNAcentral's name for it is "bacterial SSU rRNA". It matches the Rfam family "Bacterial small subunit ribosomal RNA", at positions 8 to 510 of the family's 1533-position model. Lineage: Bacteria; Pseudomonadati; Pseudomonadota; Alphaproteobacteria. The record is from RNAcentral.
AGAGUUUGAUCAUGGCUCAGAACGAACGCUGGCGGCACGCCUAACACAUGCAAGUCGAGCGCUACCUUCGGGUGGAGCGGCGGACGGGUUAGUAACGCGUGGGAACAUACCCUUUUCUACGGAAUAGCCUUUGGAAACGAAGAGUAAUACCGUAUACGCCCUUCGGGGGAAAGAUUUAUCGGUUAAGGAUUGGCCCGCGUUAGAUUAGAUAGUUGGUGGGGUAAUGGCCUACCAAGUCUACGAUCUAUAGCUGGUUUGAGAGGAUGAUCAGCAACACUGGGACUGAGACACGGCCCAGACUCCUACGGGAGGCAGCAGUGGGGAAUCUUAGACAAUGGGCGAAAGCCUGAUCUAGCGAUGCCGCGUGAGUGAAGAAGGCCCUAGGGUCGUAAAGCUCUUUCGCCAGGGAUGAUAAUGACAGUACCUGGUAAAGAAGUCCCGGCUAACUCCGUGCCA